AGUCUGCAACUCGACUCCAUGAAGUCGGAAUCGCUAGUAAUCGCAGAUCAGCAUUGCUGCGGUGAAUACGUUCCCGGGUCUUGUACACACCGCCCGUCACACCAUGGGAGUUGAUUGCACCAGAAGCAGGUAGCCUGACCGCAAGGGGGGGCGCCUACCACGGUGUGGUCAA
This 172-nucleotide ribosomal RNA is filed under the name uncultured bacterium. RNAcentral's name for it is "partial 16S ribosomal RNA". It matches the Rfam family "Bacterial small subunit ribosomal RNA", at positions 1302 to 1471 of the family's 1533-position model. The record is from RNAcentral.